Molecule: ribosomal RNA, 402 nt
Filed under: uncultured bacterium
Lineage: Bacteria
Description: bacterial SSU rRNA
Rfam family: Bacterial small subunit ribosomal RNA
Source: RNAcentral
GAUGAACGCUGGCGGCGUGCCUAACACAUGCAAGUCGAACGAAGCACUGAGAGUUUGAGAUUUCGGUCAAGAACUUUCUUUGACUUAGUGGCGGACGGGUGAGUAAUGCGUGAGCAACCUGCCUUUCAGAGGGGGACAACAGUUGGAAACGACUGCUAAUACCGCAUGAUAUAUUCGGGAUCGCAUGGUCUGGAUAUCAAAGAUUUAUCGCUGAAAGAUGGGCUCACGUCUGAUUAGUUAGUUGGUGAGGUAACGGCUCACCAAGACUGCGAUCAGUAGGGGUUCUGAGAGGAAGGUCCCCCACAUUGGAACUGAGACACGGUCCAAAACUCCUACGGGAGCAGCAGUGAGGAAUAUGGUCAAUGGGCAGAGCCUGAACCAGCCCAAGUAGCGUGCGGGACG